This is a long non-coding RNA of Astyanax mexicanus (Mexican tetra), 1605 nucleotides long. RefSeq lists it as uncharacterized. Lineage: Eukaryota; Metazoa; Chordata; Actinopteri; Characiformes; Acestrorhamphidae. The record is from RefSeq and is a predicted model, not a curated record. The transcript is spliced from 6 exons.
CCAAAAAUUUUUGGCUAAAAGCUAAAGUCCAAAAACUUUUGGCUAAACUAUGGCUAAUAAAGCAGUGUUCAAAAACGUUUGGCUAAAUGAUGGAAUUCAAAUACUUUAGCUAAUAGAGAAGUGUCCAAACCCCUUUGGCUAAAUAUUGAAAUUUUAAUACUUUAACUAAUAAAGGAGUGUCCAAAAACUUUUGGUUAAAAGUGGGUGAGAAAGCUACAAAGCAGUUUAUUCAGCAGCUCCUCCAAACACACAGUACAGAAGAACAAUGCAGAAAGGGUUGUCACCGCUAGGUGGCAGUAAAACUGUAAAUGUGCACUCAAGCUUAUAAAGGAGGGAGCGCACUCAUUCCAUCUGAAGUGCCCUGGAUUAACUUAGUUCUUAAACUUUAAAUUUUACACCCACUGAAGCACUGAAAUUUACCUUGAACUCUUAAAACAUGUUACCGUGUUUUUCAUUGCCUUUUGUCUGAAAUAUGAUGCACGGGGUGUGUGUAAAUUUGUUGUUAUCUAAAUAAUGCAAUUCUUAGGGAGUAGGGAAGAAGGGAGCAUGUAGUCAAAUGGAUGUACCCACAGACGUGGCCUAAGAGCGCGUGCGUCAAAGGAGCGGAUCAUUGCGGUCUCUGAGUUGCAGUACUGACAUUCAUUGUUUGCUGAUCUUGACGUUCCAAGUGAACAAGAAAGAGAGAGAACUACAGUGCUUGGUUCCCUGUUAUUGCCUGGUAGGGGUGACCCGAGGCCUUGCUACCAGGUUACAAGUUUACCUGGUUUUGAAGAUCUCUCUUUUUCUUUAUUCCCAAUCCCCCUUUUCUAUCAUCUCUUUUUUCGUCCAAUCCCCUUUCUAUCCACUUGCACCUGCAAGUACAACGAUAAAGGGCAUUCAGUUGAACCCCUGAAAACGGAACUCUUGAAAAAUAACCCCUUGAAAUCUAAACUCUUGAAAAAUAACCCCUUGAAAUCUAAACUCUUGAAAAGGAAGGGCAUUCAGUUGACCCCUGAAAAACGGCUUCAUAGGGCAUUCAGUUGACCCCUGAAAAACGGCUUCAUAGGGCAUUCAGUUGACCCCUGAAAAACGGCUUCAUAGGGCAUUCAGUUGACCCCUGAAAAACGGCUUCAUAGGGCAUUCAGUUGACCCCUAAACAACGGUUUGAAAAGGGCAUUCAGUUGACCCCUAAACAACGGUUUGAAAAGGGCAUUCAGUUGACCCCUAAACAACGGUUUGAAAAGGGCAUUCAGUUGACCCCUGGAAACGGAAAUCUUGAAAAAAGAUCCCCUUGGCAAACUUGAUUCCCUCAUUUAACCCUGUAUAGUGUUUCCUUGUGAUUGGUUUCAGGUCAGACAAUUCUCUAAAGAAGCAAACUCUUCACCCGAAGACAGUCAUCACAUUGACCGCGGCAUCUGGAGCUGAAGACACACACAUUCACAUUAUCGACUGAAGCUGCAGUUACCUGUCAUUUCUUAUAGCAGUAUAUUGUGAUUUAAAAACAUACAGCUUCUUACAGUGUGUACAUACCACAUUUAAUACAUUUAGUAAAAAAUACAGUCUAUUAAAAUAUUUGUUGCUGAACCUUUUUACACAUUAAAUACGUAAUUAUUUCAUAAAAAGUUA